This 497-nucleotide ribosomal RNA is filed under the name uncultured bacterium. RNAcentral describes it as "partial 16S ribosomal RNA". It matches the Rfam family "Bacterial small subunit ribosomal RNA", at positions 28 to 507 of the family's 1533-position model. The record is from RNAcentral.
GAUGAACGCUGGCGGCGUGCCUAAUACAUGCAAGUCGAGCGAACAGAUAAGGAGCUUGCUCCUUUGACGUUAGCGGCGGACGGGUGAGUAACACGUGGAUAACCUACCUAUAAGACUGGGAUAACUUCGGGAAACCGGAGCUAAUACCGGAUAACAUAUUGAACCGCAUGGUUCAAUAGUGAAAGGCGGCUUUGCUGUCACUUAUAGAUGGAUCCGCGCCGUAUUAGCUAGUUGGUAAGGUAACGGCUUACCAAGGCAACGAUACGUAGCCGACCUGAGAGGGUGAUCCGCCACACUGGAACUGAGACACGGUCCAGACUCCUAAGGGAAGCAGCAGUAGGGAAUCUUCCGCAAUGGGCGGAAGCCUGACGGAGCAACGCCGCGUGAGUGAUGAAGGUCUUCGGAUCGUAAAACUCUGUUAUCAGGGAAGAACAAAUGUGUAAGUAACUGUGCACAUCUUGACGGUACCUGAUCAGAAAGCCACGGCUAACUACGUG